Molecule: long non-coding RNA, 837 nt
Filed under: Penaeus japonicus
Lineage: Eukaryota; Metazoa; Arthropoda; Malacostraca; Decapoda; Penaeidae
Description: uncharacterized LOC122243657
Source: RNAcentral
CCUAUCCCUUCUAUUAUCAUUUUCAUUUUUAUUUUAUUUUUGCUGCUGUUAUUAGAAGUAAUGAUAAUAAUAAUGAUUAUGAUAUUGUAAUUACGAUUAUCAUCAUUGUCAUAAUUGUUGUUAUUCUAAUUGAUAUCAUUCUUAGUAGGAGCAAUAUGAUUGUUCUUUCAUUGUCUUUCUCUUCCAGAUUAGUUUUAAGACACCCAUCUAUCACAUGAACAUCAGCACACAAGGAACUAUUUGCUUGGAUAUAUUAGAUAGCGAAUGGAGUCCCGGUUUUUCACUUUCCAAAGUUUUGGUGAUGAUUGUGGCCCUUCUGAAUGACCCGAAUCCAAACGAUCCCUACCGGGGUGACCUUAGUGAAGAAUACGUGAGGGACAAGGCAUCUUACAUUAAGAAUGCUCGUAGAUGGACGCAGAUGUAUGCCGCCAAUUGAUGUAUUUUCCCGAUUGUUUUUCUCUCUCUUGAUAGGUUUAGAUUCCUUUUUUUUUCUCUCUGAACAUCCCUUGCACUUUCAUCAAGCUUAUUCAGAUGAACGUAGAUUGCAUUAGUCAUGAAUUAAGAAUAAAGUAAAUGGAUUAUUUAAACAAGUGACACAUAUCUACUGCGAUGGGUGUGUUCAUGAUGGAAAAUCCACUUGUUGGAUCUUUGUGGAAGAUUAUAAGAAGGUCAUCGAAAGGUUAUGGCUUUUCUUCCACGGCUGUUGAGUUGCAUUUCAUUCCUCAAGGUUUGCAAAAAGACUUUAUGCAGUAUACGGAUGCUUAUUGUGAGCCCAUAAUGGGACUUUUGUCGGGUCAUUUAGCAUGCUGCUGGAUCCAUUUGAUGUAUGACUAUGCU